GUAAUUUCUGUACAUGUACUAAAUUCUGAGUAAUACAAAGAUCAGCAAGACCCCCGCAGAGGAAUGAUACACAUUCACAAGACACUUCAAUUUUU
Molecule: small RNA, 95 nt
Filed under: Marmota monax (woodchuck)
Lineage: Eukaryota; Metazoa; Chordata; Mammalia; Rodentia; Sciuridae
Source: RNAcentral